ACAUGCCCCGUUUGCGGGAAGAAAUCAAAUCCUUUAAUGCUCUCAAUUUCAUACCUCACUUCUUCCCCUUUGAAGUUUCCUCCCUGAACUAAUACGCCGACAUCUCGCGCUUGGGUGUGCACAUUGCAGCUUACAUACACGACCCUCGCGGGUCCGUAAGAUAGCAGCUGCUGUAGAAAGUUGUUAUCGCAGCCCUUUCGCGGUGGGUCAAUGAUAAGAAGCGUCUUAUCAGGUGGGUAAGGAACGUCCUUGAAAAUGGCGGCUGCGUCAGCGGCUGCGAAACCAGUAUUGGCAAGUUUGUUGGCACGGGCAUUUCUACGGGCUGCCUCGAUAGAAUCAGCGGAGAUGUCGAUACCGAGGGACGAGAGAAAUAUGGGAGAGAGUGUGACGGUGAAGAGACCAGAACCAGAAUAUGCAUCUAGGAGGUAUUUUAAUUUAGAGGUGCGCUGCGUCGUAGAAGAUGAUGAUGGGGACGAAGACGAAG
This 484-nucleotide small RNA is filed under the name Histoplasma capsulatum. RNAcentral's name for it is "hypothetical RNA". The record is from RNAcentral. RNAcentral also lists the same sequence under 1 other name. Lineage: Eukaryota; Fungi; Ascomycota; Eurotiomycetes; Onygenales; Ajellomycetaceae.